Carassius gibelio (silver crucian carp) is the source of this 726-nucleotide long non-coding RNA. RefSeq lists it as uncharacterized. The record is from RefSeq and is a predicted model, not a curated record. The transcript is spliced from 2 exons. NCBI's taxonomy places the organism in Eukaryota, Metazoa, Chordata, Actinopteri, Cypriniformes, Cyprinidae.
AAAAUAAAUGAAACAUUUUAAAUCUUUAGUUGUAUUUUAUUUUAAUGUAAUUUUAAACAACUAUUACACCUCUUUUCUUAUUCUUGAUUUCUGUGCAUUUGCUGCAGAUCUUUUGUGGUGGAGCAGGACCUGCAAGGAAAGGUGAAAAAAAGGGAAAACCUGAAACAAAAGAAUAAUGUAAUGACUUUUUGUAUUGUGUAUGUGUAUUUUUGUAUGACAUGAAAAUGUCUGUAGACUGGUGAUUGCACUGAGGAUGGCGAAGACCACAGCAUCAUCCUGAAAAUGAUCGAGAGUCACAGAUGACUUUCCACCUGCCCUUAACUGUCUCAUCAGUACCAGAUGCCAGGGAACCAGGGAACACAUGUUAGGUAGUCGCGCUCAUGGGGUGCAGGCACACAAAAUUUUCUCUAACUUCAAGGUUGUGUGGUUCAGAGAGCCGUCACCAAGGUCUUCCUCAUCCUGUUGCUCAACGACAUCCGCGUUGAGAAGAGUGAGAUUAUGAAGUGCAGCAGCAGCGCUGUAUCAGCUGUGUUCAGAUGGCAGGAGGAUGUUGGGUUCACCAUCUGUAAAUACUUGAUUGUUAGAACAUUAAGUUUGAAUGAAGCUUUGUUUCAUGUGUUGUUGACUUGUACAUGUAUGCAUUUAUUGUGAUGCUAACUUUUAUACAUUAUUUUAAUCAUUUAGACAUGUUUUUUUGCUGUCAGUAAAUAAAAUAUAAAUAUUUUA